AUAAGAUAUUAGUUUAUGCAUUAUUUAGCACUUAUCACACCCCCAAACCUACAUUUUGCUAGUCCUCGAGCAAAAUAAAAUAAAAAAAACUAACUCACUUUCGCAGGAAUCGCGAUUGCAUUUACCGUAUGCAAUGAGGCUUUAAACCCCUAGGUGGCCCUAGUGGACGAGUUUUGUCUCGUGAGGGUUUUCGGCUCAGAUACCCACAAACUGUU
This 215-nucleotide long non-coding RNA is filed under the name Phoenix dactylifera (date palm). RNAcentral's name for it is "long non-coding RNA (PDAC_LNC010275)". The record is from RNAcentral. Lineage: Eukaryota; Viridiplantae; Streptophyta; Magnoliopsida; Arecales; Arecaceae.